UACGGGGGGGGCAAGCGUUGUUCGGAAUUACUGGGCGUAAAGCGCGCGUAGGCGGCCCUCCAAGUCAGGCGUGAAAGCCCCGGGCUCAACCCGGGAAUAGCGCUUGAGACUGGGGGGCUUGAGUUCGGGAGAGGAGAGUGGAAUUCCCAGUGUAGAGGUGAAAUUCGUAGAUAUCAGGAGGAACACCAAUGGCGAAGGCAGCUCGCUGGGACGGUACUGACGCUGAGACGCGAAAGCGUGGGGAGCAAACAGG
RNAcentral lists this ribosomal RNA (253 nucleotides) under uncultured bacterium. RNAcentral describes it as "partial 16S ribosomal RNA". It matches the Rfam family "Bacterial small subunit ribosomal RNA", at positions 524 to 776 of the family's 1533-position model. The record is from RNAcentral.